GGAGAAUUGCUCCCUCCCAGAAAACGACGCUUCGUGGGUGCAUUGUUUUUUUUCGAGAGGCAAAGAAUAGUUACAAUGUUGCAAAAAAAAGCAGAACUAAGACAUAUAUCUGGCUGAAAGGAAGACAUUUGCUGUCAAGAGUUGCACUGUGACACCUGGCUGGUGACGAACAGAGGGUUAUGAAUGUUCUGGGACUCAGGCUGCAUUGGUUUUACAGUCCUGGGCUGAUGGGUGCGUUUCCUGCAUAGCCAACAGCUCAGAAUGGAUUUCGUUUUGGGUAUUGCUGGUGAAGCGGGAGGGAACCGCAGUGAGCCCUGCUGUUUAUAUAAACUUCGACCAUUGGUGAGUUUGGAUUUGCCAAAAUACCACCUUUCCAUAUCCCAAACCUUUUUGCGGCUAAUAGGACGGCCAGCUGAAUUUCACCGAGAAAUGUAGCGCGAACAGUUUAGCAGGCGUCGGGGGACAGUUACACCGCGUUAAAUUGUGAAUUAUCUAUGAAAAAUUCGCAAACCAGAUUGAGCUCCUGACCUCGAAAACUGAUUUACUUCCCGAUUCCAGCUAAUGAUAACGAUCUCUAUAUUUCUUGUUUAGUAGAUGCAACUGUUCUGAUCCAACUUGCUGUUUCUUGAUCACUUUCCCCUCACUGCAGUGUAACACACACACUGUUGUUCCAGUCUAGUUUACGUGCGGCACAGCUACAGCUCAGAACCUGGGAAUUGGGAUUCCUUAGAGCUUCGUGAUUCAGUCCCGCGAUUUAGCAGGAAUAAGACUAUAUGUGAAAAACCACUCCAGGAACUCUCUCUCUCUCUCUCUCUCUCCCCCCGUCUCUCUGGGAUCUAUCGCCUCGAGGUUUUAUUUAGAUCAAUGUUUCACGUCGCUGUCUCUGUUACCUACUGCUGACCCUUAUUCAAACAGGCAGUAAAAAAAAACCUACUCCGGCGUCACUUGUUUAAUAUUUCCUCCUCACCCAAAGUUACAAAACGAUUCCGUGGAAGAUUAUAACGUUUGAACGGAUUUCAUGGCUGGACCUGUACGGCUCAUUUAACUGCCCUAGUGUCAGAAUCCUGGCGAACAGAUUUCUAGCCUCCAUAUCCUGUUAUUUUAAAAUGA
Rhincodon typus (whale shark) is the source of this 1110-nucleotide long non-coding RNA. RefSeq lists it as uncharacterized. The transcript is spliced from 3 exons. NCBI's taxonomy places the organism in Eukaryota, Metazoa, Chordata, Chondrichthyes, Orectolobiformes, Rhincodontidae. The record is from RefSeq and is a predicted model, not a curated record.